This 261-nucleotide non-coding RNA is filed under the name Xanthomarina gelatinilytica. The record is from RNAcentral. Lineage: Bacteria; Pseudomonadati; Bacteroidota; Flavobacteriia; Flavobacteriales; Flavobacteriaceae.
CCCAAACAAGUUCGGGAUGGUUUCGCCAAUUAAAAGGGAAUCAAGUGAAAAGCUUGUUGAUUACAGAUUGCCGAUUGAAGGACAACGGGUUCCAAAAUCAGUAAUCAAAAACAAAUCAUCAAUCUUCAUUCUUGAACUGUUCCCGCAACUGUAAGCUAUUAAGCUUCAUGUAAACUUCAAUGUCACUGUCCGAUGUUUCGGAAUGGGAAGACCUAACAUGAAGACGCAAGUCAGGAGACCUGCCAAAUUCAACAAAAAAUA